CGUCUCCCCACACAGCUGAAAUUAAUGCAGAGGUGAACGCCUUCUCCCUCGGAAGCAGAGCAAGAAUGAUUCUUGAUUACACUGAGCCUAUGGAACAGCCCCCACUGUUCAAGAGCCAAGAUUAGUGUGAAGCACCUCUCAAUCAUUUAAGAUUUGAUUGUUUAACAUGAGGCUGGGUGGGUUCGUCUCAGUGCUGAUGUCAACAAUCGACCCCAUCGUCCACAUGGCUCCCUGGGUUGCACCAUGAGCCAGCCACUGCUGCUUCUGGGUGCCAGGCUGUCCGGCAAAUCCUCUGACCCCCGUCUCUCCCUUCUAGAUUUUUCUGAGCUGCCACUUCCUCUCACCCUCCAGGCAGGCAGAGCCUGAAACCCCCUCUCUCAGAAAGGGUUGCAUCAAACUCAUUUGAUGCACACAAAUUCACCGAGGGAGAAUCCUUUGACAAGCAGGCUCUGGGGCCCUGGGGCUGGGGCUUGAGAGCCUGGGUCUCUAACACACCCAGCAGUUGCUGAUGGCGGGGCCAGAGCUGGAGUGGCCAAGGUUUUAGAGCAGUACUUAUGGUGGGUCUCUCUCUAGCUGGGCCAUCCUUGAGGCCAUCCUCUUCAUUUCAGAUCAGUUUGCCCCCUCCCCAUUUCUCAAAGCUGCUUACUGUUUGCUGGAAGGGAAGGCUGGACUCCUCCACCCCACCUUCCACCCCCACCUUCCUUUCCCCUCCGCCCCACACCCGUUUCUCUGCUCCCUAGUCUGUUUCCUGUACAACUUUAGGACAUGGCCUUCAUUCAUGUUACCUUUCUGUUGUUGUUUUUUUAUGAGCUUUAGUUAAGAUAACUAAUUGCUGCAGACAAAACCAGCUCAAAACAAUUUAAUCCACACUUUGAGAGAGGGAGAAAGAAAUGCACUCUGCAGAGGAAUCUGAAGAAUGUAGAGAACCAUCCAAUCAACGACUAUUCCAAGCAUUUCCCUGAGAAUGCAAACUUCCACCCACCUCAAGCCCUCCAGGAACUUGCCAUUUUCACCACAUCACUAUGCAGCGUCACACCAGGAAGUACCCAGAAAACUUCGCACGAUCCUCCGGAAGCCUCACCCCUUAUCGGUGACCACCCUUCUGCUAUAUCCAGUCUUUUUCUCAGCA
RNAcentral lists this long non-coding RNA (1129 nucleotides) under Homo sapiens (human). RNAcentral's name for it is "long non-coding RNA NONHSAT188216". Lineage: Eukaryota; Metazoa; Chordata; Mammalia; Primates; Hominidae. The record is from RNAcentral.